Molecule: ribosomal RNA, 537 nt
Filed under: uncultured bacterium
Lineage: Bacteria
Description: partial 16S ribosomal RNA
Rfam family: Bacterial small subunit ribosomal RNA
Source: RNAcentral
UGGGGAAUUUUGGACAAUGGGCGAAAGCCUGAUCCAGCAAUGCCGCGUGUGUGAAGAAGGCCUUCGGGUUGUAAAGCACUUUUGUCCGGAAAGAAAUCCUUGGCUCUAAUACAGUCGGGGGAUGACGGUACCGGAAGAAUAAGCACCGGCUAACUACGUGCCAGCAGCCGCGGUAAUACGUAGGGUGCAAGCGUUAAUCGGAAUUACUGGGCGUAAAGCGUGCGCAGGCGGUUUGCUAAGACCGAUGUGAAAUCCCCGGGCUCAACCUGGGAACUGCAUUGGUGACUGGCAGGGCUAGAGUAUGGCAGAGGGGGGUAGAAUUCCACGUNUAGCAGUGAAAUGCGUAGAGAUGUGGAGGAAUACCGAUGGCGAAGGCAGCCCCCUGGGCAAUACUGACGCUCAUGCACGAAAAGCGUGGGGGAGCAAACAGGAUUAGAUACCCUGGUAGUCCACGCCCUAAACGAUGUCAACUAGUUGUUGGGGAUUCAUUUCCUUAGUAACGUAGCUAACGCGUGAAGUUGACCGCCUGGGGAGUAC